GUGGGUAUAGCUCAGUGGAAGAGCACAUGCCUAGAAUGCAUGAGAUCCUGUGGGUUCAAUCCCCAGUACCUUCA
Molecule: transfer RNA, 74 nt
Filed under: Camelus bactrianus (Bactrian camel)
Lineage: Eukaryota; Metazoa; Chordata; Mammalia; Artiodactyla; Camelidae
Also listed under: 2 other names
Rfam family: tRNA
About the family: Transfer RNA (tRNA) molecules are approximately 80 nucleotides in length. Their secondary structure includes four short double-helical elements and three loops (D, anti-codon, and T loops).
Source: Rfam by way of RNAcentral